This 788-nucleotide ribosomal RNA is filed under the name Staphylococcus gallinarum. Its description in RNAcentral is "bacterial SSU rRNA". It matches the Rfam family "Bacterial small subunit ribosomal RNA", at positions 1 to 781 of the family's 1533-position model. The record is from RNAcentral. Lineage: Bacteria; Bacillati; Bacillota; Bacilli; Caryophanales; Staphylococcaceae.
UGUGUUGAUAUCCCGCUCAGGAUGAACGCUGGCGGCGUGCUAAUAAUGCAAGUCGAGCGAACAGAUAAGGAGCUUGCUCCUUUGACGUAGCGGCGGACGGGUGAGUAACACGUGGGUAACCUACCUAUAAGACUGGAAUAACUCCGGGAAACCGGGGCUAAUGCCGGAUAACAUAUAGAACCGCAUGGUUCUAUAGUGAAAGAUGGUUUUGCUAUCACUUAUAGAUGGACCCGCGCCGUAUUAGCUAGUUGGUAAGGUAAUGGCUUACCAAGGCGACGAUACGUAGCCGACCUGAGAGGGUGAUCGGCCACACUGGAACUGAGACACGGUCCAGACUCCUACGGGAGGCAGCAGUAGGGAAUCUUCCGCAAUGGGCGAAAGCCUGACGGAGCAACGCCGCGUGAGUGAUGAAGGGUUUCGGCUCGUAAAACUCUGUUAUUAGGGAAGAACAUAUGUGUAAGUAACUGUGCACAUCUUGACGGUACCUAAUCAGAAAGCCACGGCUAACUACGUGCCAGCAGCCGCGGUAAUACGUAGGUGGCAAGCGUUAUCCGGAAUUAUUGGGCGUAAAGCGCGCGUAGGCGGUUUCUUAAGUCUGAUGUGAAAGCCCACGGCUCAACCGUGGAGGGUCAUUGGAAACUGGGAAACUUGAGUGCAGAAGAGGAAAGUGGAAUUCCAUGUGUAGCGGUGAAAUGCGCAGAGAUAUGGAGGAACACCAGUGGCGAAGGCGACUUUCUGGUCUGUAACUGACGCUGAUGUGCGAAAGCGUGGGGAUCAAACAGGAUUUA